Molecule: ribosomal RNA, 465 nt
Filed under: Vreelandella stevensii
Lineage: Bacteria; Pseudomonadati; Pseudomonadota; Gammaproteobacteria; Oceanospirillales; Halomonadaceae
Description: partial 16S ribosomal RNA
Rfam family: Bacterial small subunit ribosomal RNA
Source: RNAcentral
CCUACGGGAGGCAGCAGUGGGGAAUAUUGGACAAUGGGGGCAACCCUGAUCCAGCCAUGCCGCGUGUGUGAAGAAGGCCCUCGGGUUGUAAAGCACUUUCAGUGAGGAAGAACGCCUGGUGGUUAAUACCCAUCAGGAAAGACAUCACUCACAGAAGAAGCACCGGCUAACUCCGUGCCAGCAGCCGCGGUAAUACGGAGGGUGCGAGCGUUAAUCGGAAUUACUGGGCGUAAAGGGCGCGUAGGUGGCUUGAUAAGCCGGUUGUGAAAGCCCCGGGCUCAACCUGGGAACGGCAUCCGGAACUGUCAAGCUAGAGUGCAGGAGAGGAAGGUAGAAUUCCCGGUGUAGCGGUGAAAUGCGUAGAGAUCGGGAGGAAUACCAGUGGCGAAGGCGGCCUUCUGGACUGACACUGACACUGAGGUGCGAAAGCGUGGGUAGCAAACAGGAUUAGAUACCCCAGUAGUC